This 495-nucleotide ribosomal RNA is filed under the name uncultured bacterium. RNAcentral's name for it is "partial 16S ribosomal RNA". It matches the Rfam family "Bacterial small subunit ribosomal RNA", at positions 28 to 506 of the family's 1533-position model. The record is from RNAcentral.
GAUGAACGCUGGCGGCGUGCCUAAUACAUGCAAGUCGAGCGAACAGACGAGGAGCUUGCUCCUCUGACGUUAGCGGCGGACGGGUGAGUAACACGUGGAUAACCUACCUAUAAGACUGGAUAACUUCGGGAAACCGGAGCUAAUACCGGAUAAUAUAUUGAACCGCAUGGUUCAAUAGUGAAAGACGGUUUUGCUGUCACUUAUAGAUGGAUCCGCGCCGCAUUAGCUAGUUGGUAAGGUAACGGCUUACCAAGGCAACGAUGCGUAGCCGACCUGAGAGGGUGAUCGGCCACACUGGAACUGAGACACGGUCCAGACUCCUACGGGAGGCAGCAGUAGGGAAUCUUCCGCAGUGGGCGAAAGCCUGACGGAGCAACGCCGCGUGAGUGAUGAAGGUCUGCGGAUCGUAAAACUCUGUUAUUAGGGAAGAACAAAUGUGUAAGUAACGAUGCACGUCUUGACGGUACCUAAUCAGAAAGCCACGGCUAACUACGU